This is a long non-coding RNA of Aricia agestis (brown argus), 1333 nucleotides long. RefSeq lists it as uncharacterized. The record is from RefSeq and is a predicted model, not a curated record. The transcript is spliced from 2 exons. NCBI's taxonomy places the organism in Eukaryota, Metazoa, Arthropoda, Insecta, Lepidoptera, Lycaenidae.
AUUUAGUUAACAUCAUUCAAAGCGCGUUUUGUAACAUUCUUCUACAUUUUCUAAUUAAAUCAAAAUUUUAUAAAAUAAUUGUAAUAACGUAAAAUAUAAUAUGUUUAACACAUAUUGUACCGCUGGAAAGUAAAUCUAGAGUGAAAACUACGUGUCAAGUUGUAUCGUUAUUCGUUACCUUUUUCUUACUUUCACCAACUUUCUUUCGGAAUAAUAUUUACGUAACGCACACGUUUUGGGUGAAUUUUUAUAUAUUAUGUAUAUGCAUAAUCCAACAGUAUAAUAAAUAGUAUAUCACAGCCUUGAAGCCUACAUUUAUUAUUCAUAACCACGGAUCAAUUAAGACACCUAGGGCGCCUACUAAAUACUAAUUAGCUAACACUUGUAGUGACAGCUACGUGACAUGCCCACUACUAACUUUCAUUGCGAAUACUAACAGUAACUGCUAGCAGGUACAUUCUACUAACAACGGCUCUAGAAUACUAAUUCUGGUACCACUAGCGAUUCUUCUAACUUUUCUUACUAACACUAACGCUAGAUACCAUAUAGUGAAAACGGCAAAGACGUUCCGUAGUGAAUAGUGAAAUAAAACAAAUAGACAAUACGUUUGUGAGAUCGAACCAUAGACAAUGACGUCACACGUGAAAUUACGUGUUGGGGUUCGUGCCAGGAGUGCGUUUGCAAAGAGCGUGACGUUGCGUUGUGGCAAGUUGACACUGUAAAUGCACUAUCUGGUACGACACCCCGGCCCGUGUAGCGCCGCCUGACCUGCCACUCGGAGUUAUGGACUAUAGUGACCCUUUUACUUCAGUUAACGCUUAGAUUAUGUUAUGUUAAGGGUUGGCAACGUGACGAGGCGAUGCAAAAGCCAUUCCAAAUUGGAACAGCCAGGUGAUUUUUUUUCGGCACUCAGAGAUGAUCAUGAGCUUUAAUUUAAUGAAGAGUUUGACAGAAAAUGUAUGUUGUUUAUCAUUAGAUCAAAGGAAAUCAUUAAGUUUCUCUGACGCCUCAGGCCGUAAAUGAGCCAUUCAAAACUGGAAUAGGCAGCCCCACACCACGGGCGACAAGUUUAUGUUUUUGUGGAGUAAAUAAAGUUCAGUUUUGAAUGGUUUAUCACAAAAUGUGUAAUCGUAUCGCCUCGUCACGUUGCAAUGUCAACUGACCUUAAGUUGUGCAUGCUCGUACUAUCUUCUGCGUGAUUUAAGUUUAUGUACUUGUAUUGUAGAUGUCUAUGCAAUUUAUUAUGUUAUUCUUAUUUUCUUAUGUUGAUUUUGUUGUAAUAAAACUGCUUUUACUGUAUGUGUAUGUUUUGAUUACAGCUUUCUUCUUAGUU